Molecule: ribosomal RNA, 510 nt
Filed under: uncultured bacterium
Lineage: Bacteria
Description: partial 16S ribosomal RNA
Rfam family: Bacterial small subunit ribosomal RNA
Source: RNAcentral
GACGAACGCUGGCGGCGUGCUUAACACAUGCAAGUCGAACGAAGAGCGACGGAAGCUUGCUUCUAUCAAUCUUAGUGGCGAACGGGUGAGUAACGCGUAAUCAACCUGCCCUUCAGAGGGGGACAACAGUUGGAAACGACUGCUAAUACCGCAUACGAUCUAACCUCGGCAUCGAGGAUAGAUGAAAGGUGGCCUCUACAUGUAAGCUAUCACUGAAGGAGGGGAUUGCGUCUGAUUAGCUAGUUGGGGGGGUAACGGCCCACCCAGGCGAUGAUCAGUAGCCGGUCUGAGAGGAUGAACGGCCACAUUGGGACUGAGACACGGCCCAGACUCCUACGGGAGGCAGCAGUGGGGAAUCUUCCGCAAUGGACGAAAGUCUGACGGAGCAACGCCGCGUGGGUGAUGACGGCCUUCGGGUUGUAAAGCUCUGUUAAUCGGGACGAAAGGCCUUCUUGCGAAUAGUGAGAAGGAUUGACGGUACCGGAAUAGAAAGCCACGGCUAACUACGUG